AGAGUUUGAUCAUGGCUCAGAUUGAACGCUGGCGGCAGGCUUAACACAUGCAAGUCGAGCGGUAGCACAAGGGAGCUUGCUCCCCGGGUGACGAGCGGCGGACGGGUGAGUAAUGUCUGGGAAACUGCCUGAUGGAGGGGGAUAACUACUGGAAACGGUAGCUAAUACCGCAUAACGUCGCAAGACCAAAGAGGGGGACCUUCGGGCCUCUUGCCAUCAGAUGUGCCCAGAUGGGAUUAGCUAGUAGGUGGGGUAAUGGCUCACCUAGGCGACGAUCCCUAGCUGGUCUGAGAGGAUGACCAGCCACACUGGAACUGAGACACGGUCCAGACUCCUACGGGAGGCAGCAGUGGGGAAUUUUGGACAAUGGGGGAAACCCUGAUCCAGCCAUCCCGCGUGUGCGAUGAAGGCCUUCGGGUUGUAAAGCACUUUUGGCAGGAAAGAAACGUCAUGGGUUAAUACCCCGUGAAACUGACGGUACCUGCAGAAUAAGCACCGGCUAACUACGUGCCAGCAGCCGCGGUAAUACGUAGGGUGCAAGCGUUAAUCGGAAUUACUGGGCGUAAAGCGUGCGCAGGCGGUUCGGAAAGAAAGAUGUGAAAUCCCAGAGCUUAACUUUGGAACUGCAUUUUUAACUACCGGGCUAGAGUGUGUCAGAGGGAGGUGGAAUUCCGCGUGUAGCAGUGAAAUGCGUAGAUAUGCGGAGGAACACCGAUGGCGAANGCAGCCUCCUGGGAUAACACUGACGCUCAUGCACGAAAGCGUGGGGAGCAAACAGGAUUAGAUACCCUGGUAGUCCGCGCCCUAAACGAUGUCAACUAGCUGUUGGGGCCUUCGGGCCUUGGUAGCGCAGCUAACGCGUGAAGUUGACCGCCUGGGGAGUACGGUCGCAAGAUUAAAACUCAAAGGAAUUGACGGGGACCCGCACAAGCGGUGGAUGAUGUGGAUUAAUUCGAUGCAACGCGAAAAACCUUACCUACCCUUGACAUGUCUGGGAAUGCCGA
RNAcentral lists this ribosomal RNA (1004 nucleotides) under uncultured bacterium. Its description in RNAcentral is "bacterial SSU rRNA". It matches the Rfam family "Bacterial small subunit ribosomal RNA", at positions 8 to 1001 of the family's 1533-position model. The record is from RNAcentral.